Molecule: ribosomal RNA, 490 nt
Filed under: uncultured bacterium
Lineage: Bacteria
Description: partial 16S ribosomal RNA
Rfam family: Bacterial small subunit ribosomal RNA
Source: RNAcentral
GGGGGGGGGGGGGGGGGGGGGGGGGGGGGGCGGGGCGGGCGGGAGCGCGGGGGGGCGUGCGCGCUGGGGGGCGAGGGGCGGACGGGUGGGGGAUACGUCGGGAGCUGCCCAGUCGUGGGGGAUAACGUAGGGAAACUUACGCUAAUACCGCAUACGACCUUCGGGUGAACGAGGGGGAUCGCAAGACCUCUCGCGAUUGGAUGAGCCGAUGUCGGAUUAGCUAGUUGGCGGGGUAAUGGCCCACCAAGGCGACGAUCCGUAGCUGGUCUGAGAGGAUGAUCAGCCACACUGGAACUGAGACACGGUCCAGACUCCUACGGGAGGCAGCAGUGGGGAAUAUUGGACAAUGGGCGCAAGCCUGAUCCAGCCAUACCGCGUGGGUGGAGAAGGCCUUCGGGUUGUAAAGCCCUUUUGUUGGGAAAGAAAUCUUUCAGGCUAAUACCCUGGGAGGAUGACGGUACCCAAAGAAUAAGCACCGGCUAACUUCGUG